GUGCUUGCUUCAGCAGCAUUCAUACUAAAAUUAGAAUGAUACACAGACGAUUAUCAUGGCCCCUGCACUUGAAAAAUUCUUGAAAGGCAUAGAAUUAGUAAGUCGUC
Molecule: small nuclear RNA, 107 nt
Organism: Phodopus roborovskii (desert hamster)
Lineage: Eukaryota; Metazoa; Chordata; Mammalia; Rodentia; Cricetidae
Source: RefSeq, a predicted model, not a curated record